CCACUUUAAAAGCAGGCAGCAGGCGCGCAAUUACCCAAUCCUGACUCAGGGAGGUAGUGACAAGAAAUAACAAUAAACCGGCUUAUGCCGGUUUAAUUGGAAUGAGUACAAUUUAAACAUCUUAACGAGGAACAAUUGGAGGGCAAGUCUGGUGCCAGCAGCCGCGGUAAUUCCAGCUCCAAUAGCGUAUACUAAAGUUGUUGCAGUUAAAAAGCUCGUAGUUGGAUUUCUGUGGGGACGGAGCGGCCGGCCGCAACACGCGGUUCGAGCUAGCGCUUUCCCUACAUCCUGCCGCGAACCGUGCUACCAUUAGUUUGGUGGCGCCGGGGAUCGGCUCGAUUACUUUGAGAAAAAUAGAGUGUUCAAAGCAGGCCACACGCCUUGAAUAAGUUAGCAUGGAAUAAUAACUAAGGACUUCGGUUCUAUUUUGUUGGUGUUCGGGACUGAAGUAAUGAUUGAUAGGGACAGUUGGGGCGGUCUGUAUUCCAAAGCGAGAGGUGAAAUUCUUAGACCUUCGGAAGACAAACAGCUGCGAAAGCGUUCCGCAAGGAUGUUCCCUUUGAUCAAGAACGAAAGUUGGGGGAUCGAAGACGAUCAGAUACCGUCGUAGUCUCAACUAUAAACUAUACCAGCUAGGGAUCGGCCAACGUUAUUCUAUACCGACUUGGUCGGCACCUUAUGAGAAAUCAAAGCAUCUGGGUUCCGGGGGGAGUAUGGUCGCAAGGCUGAAACUUAAAGGAAUUGACGGAAGGGCACCACCAGCCGUGGAGCCUGUGGCUUAAUUUGACUCAACACGGGAAAACUUACCAGGUCCAGACAUAGUAAGGAUUGACAGAUUGAUAGCUCUUUCUUGAUUCUGUGGGUGGUGGUGCAUGGCCGUUCUUAGUUGGUGGAGUGAUUUGUCUGGUUAAUUCCGUUAACGAACGAGACCCCAGCCUGCUAAAUAGCGCGUGUGAGCUUUGCUCGCAGCGAGCUUCUUAGAGGGACUAUGAUGCGCGAUAGCACAUGGAAGUUUGGGGCAAUAACAGGUCUGUGAUGCCCUUAGAUGUUCUGGGCCGCACACGGGCUACACUGGCGCCUGCAACGAGCAUAUCAGCUGGCCCGAGAGGGUCUUGGCUAAUCUUUUGAACCGGCGCCGUGCUUGGGAUUGACCUUUGCAAUUGUUGGUCAUGCAACGAGGAAUGCCUUGUAAACGCGAGUCAUCAGCUCGCAUUGAAUACGUCCCUGCCCUUUGUACACACCGCCCGUCGCUCCUACCGAUGAAUGUUCCGAUGAAAUUUUCGGAGAGUGCCUGUGAACUUGGCUCUGCCUUGCGAACGGGAAGCUCAAAGUCACUUAAAUCUGAGCAUUAAA
This 1353-nucleotide ribosomal RNA is filed under the name uncultured marine eukaryote. Its description in RNAcentral is "SSU rRNA". It matches the Rfam family "Eukaryotic small subunit ribosomal RNA", at positions 410 to 1776 of the family's 1831-position model. The record is from RNAcentral.